This 180-nucleotide ribosomal RNA is filed under the name uncultured Glomeromycotina. RNAcentral describes it as "partial small subunit ribosomal RNA". The stretch from base 92 to 180 matches the Rfam family "Eukaryotic small subunit ribosomal RNA", at positions 736 to 827 of the family's 1831-position model. The record is from RNAcentral. Lineage: Eukaryota; Fungi; Glomeromycota.
GCCCUUGCCGCCCGGUCCGCCUAUUUGGGCGUGUACUGGAGCGGUGGAGGCUUACCUCGUGGUGAACGGCCAUGCUCUUUACUGGGUGUGGUCGAGAACCAUGACUUUUACUUUGAAAAAAUUAGAGUGUUUAAAGCAGGCUUACGCUUGAAUACAUUAGCAUGGAAUAAUAGAAUAGGA